This 267-nucleotide ribosomal RNA is filed under the name uncultured Oscillospiraceae bacterium. Its description in RNAcentral is "partial 16S ribosomal RNA". It matches the Rfam family "Bacterial small subunit ribosomal RNA", at positions 73 to 339 of the family's 1533-position model. The record is from RNAcentral. Lineage: Bacteria; Bacillati; Bacillota; Clostridia; Eubacteriales; Oscillospiraceae.
AAUGACGAGGUUUGUGACUGAGCGGCGGACGGGUGAGUAACGCGUGGGCAACCUGCCUCAAAGAGGGGGACAACAGUUGGAAACGACUGCUAAUACCGCAUAAGCCCACGGUGCCGCAUGGCACAGAGGGAAAAGGAGCAAUCCGCUUUGAGAUGGCCUCGCGUCUGAUUAGCUAGUUGGUGAGGUAACGGCCCACCAAGGCGACGAUCAGUAGCCGGACUGAGAGGUUGACCGGCCACAUUGGGACUGAGAUACGGCCCAGACUCC